GAUGAACGCUGGCGGCGUGCCUAAUACAUGCAAGUCGAGCGAACAGACGAGGAGCUUGCUCCUCUGACGUUAGCGGCGGACGGGUGAGUAACACGUGGAUAACCUACCUAUAAGACUGGGAUAACUUCGGGAAACCGGAGCUAAUACCGGAUAAUAUAUUGAACCGCAUGGUUCAAUAGUGAAAGACGGUUUUGCUGUCACUUAUAGAUGGAUCCGCGCCGCAUUAGCUAGUUGGUAAGGUAACGGCUUACCAAGGCGACGAUGCGUAGCCGACCUGAGAGGGUGAUCGGCCACACUGGAACUGAGACACGGUCCAGACUCCUACGGGAGGCAGCAGUAGGGAAUCUUCCGCAAUGGGCGAAAGCUUGACGGAGCAACGCCGCGUGAGUGAUGAAGGUCUUCGGAUCGUAAAACUCUGUUAUUAGGGAAGAACAAAUUUGUAAGUAACUAUGCACGUCUUGACGGUACCUAAUCAGAAAGCCACGGCUAACUACGUG
Molecule: ribosomal RNA, 497 nt
Filed under: uncultured bacterium
Lineage: Bacteria
Description: partial 16S ribosomal RNA
Rfam family: Bacterial small subunit ribosomal RNA
Source: RNAcentral